ACCUUGCUGACGAGUGCCAAAUAGCACGAAACCCGUGUUCAAGGAU
Molecule: non-coding RNA, 46 nt
Organism: Schistosoma margrebowiei
Lineage: Eukaryota; Metazoa; Platyhelminthes; Trematoda; Strigeidida; Schistosomatidae
Source: Rfam